ACUCAAUAGAUACCCCGGUAGUCCCAGCUGUAAACGAUGCAGACUCGGUGAUGAGUUGGCUACAUGCCACCUCAGUGCCGCAGGGAAGCCGUUAAGUUUGCCGCCUGGGGAGUACGGUCGCAAGACUGAAACUUAAAGGAAUUGGCGGGGAGCACCACAAGGGGUGAAAGCCUGCGGUUCAAUUGGAGUCAACGCCGGAAAUCUUACCGGGGGCGGACAGCAGUAUGAAGGUCAAGCUGAAGACUUUACCAGACAAGCUGAGAGGAGGUGCAUGGCCGUCGCCAGCUCGUGCCGUGAGGUGUCCUGUUAAGUCAGGUAACGAGCGAGACCCCUGCCUCUAGUUGCUACCUUUACUCUCAGGAGUAGUGGAGCUAAUUAGAGGGACUGCCGUCGCUGAGACGGAGGAAGGAGGGGGGCUACGGCAGGUCAGUAUGCCCCGAAACCCUCGGGCCACACGCGGGCUGCAAUGGUAAGGACAAUGAGUUUCAAUUCCG
This 494-nucleotide ribosomal RNA is filed under the name uncultured bacterium. RNAcentral describes it as "bacterial SSU rRNA". It matches the Rfam family "Archaeal small subunit ribosomal RNA", at positions 723 to 1213 of the family's 1478-position model. The record is from RNAcentral.